AACCUGCCCAGAAGCGGGGGAUAACACCUGGAAACAGAUGCUAAUACCGCAUAACAACUUGGACCGCAUGGUCCGAGCUUGAAAGAUGGCUUCGGCUAUCACUUUUGGAUGGUCCCGCGGCGUAUUAGCUAGAUGGUGGGGUAACGGCUCACCAUGGCAAUGAUACGUAGCCGACCUGAGAGGGUAAUCGGCCACAUUGGGACUGAGACACGGCCCAAACUACUACGGGAGGCAGCAGUAGGGAAUCUUCCACAAUGGACGAAAGUCUGAUGGAGCAACGCCGCGUGAGUGAAGAAGGGUUUCGGCUCGUAAAACUCUGUUGUUAAAGAAGAACAUAUCUGAGAGUAACUGUUCAGGUAUUGACGGUAUUUAACCAGAAAGC
Molecule: ribosomal RNA, 382 nt
Filed under: Lactiplantibacillus plantarum
Lineage: Bacteria; Bacillati; Bacillota; Bacilli; Lactobacillales; Lactobacillaceae
Description: bacterial SSU rRNA
Rfam family: Bacterial small subunit ribosomal RNA
Source: RNAcentral